UUAAGAAAAUAAAGAAAAUAAAGAUUCAUGUCUUUUUCACUGCUGCUCUGUUUAUCUAGCUUCCUUCUCUGCUCUCUUUGCCAUUCUUUUUCUGCUAAGACCUCUCAGAUUUUCAAGUGAUUGGUUGUUUAGAAAAGAGAAAGAUUUCCAUUUAUAUAGUUCUAAACCUUUUUUAUUUUAUCCAUUUAGCCCCUAAAGCAAGUUUUUUUUUAAAAAAAAUAUUUUGGUUUACAAAGAUACAAAACACUUCCUUACUAUUGCUUAUUAACAACGAACUCAUCAUCAAUUUACUGAUUAAGUUUAUCAUUAACAUUACUUAGCGUUUUCAGUGUCAUUAUUUCAUAUUGUUCUCUUCUCUGUAUACUUUGAGCUAUCCACUCAAAUGUUGUAUAGCUUUUGGGCUUUCUCAUAUUGUUCUCUUCUCUGUAUACUUUAACUCUUGUCUUGUACUGUAGCUUCAGAACGCUUCCUUCCAAGUUCACCAGAGCUGGACCUGAAUUGCUCCGACUCACUGAGACAUUGUCGCCAAGUUGGGGGUUUUUUGAAGUGUACUUGAAAUGUGACUAUGGGUUGGUUCUGGAGAAUAAAUGGAGUAGGCCGAUUUUUCAAUCAUUUUCUACCAAAAAAGAGGAUGAAUGGAAUGAUGCAUGAGAAACAGCGUUGCUGCCGGAGGAUCUGAUGGUUCAGAACAGAGCUCCAUAGGAAAAGGAUGUAAAAUUGUCUUCAUCCACAGGGAUAGAGAACAAAAAAUAAAAAUCGAGAACAAAAUCACUUACAUGACCAUGAAGUAAUAAGGCUAUGUUUCCUUCCCAUUCAAGAAUCCAACACAGCUCCCUAAAAGCUGUUUUGAAUUUGAAUGGACUAAGAAUUUGGUGCAUUUUGUUUGUAGUAAGUGUGAUAAAAUGUUUUCUGCUAGAUUAUUCAGGUAGUCUCAUGUUAUAGGUCCUCUAUGAAGUUUAGAAAAUUAGAGAAUAAAUUUGAUGUCCUUUUUAGCCCUACUGAAUUCCAGGAUCUUUUAAGCUUGUGCAGGAUUACUGGCAAGUUUGGAAUAUAACGUGGAUUCCUUUUGUCUAACUCACCAAUUCUAAUAGAUAUCUUAUCACGUAAUUUUGACACUGCCAUUAAUGACUUGGACAACACAGAUCCCAAGCUCUUACGAAUUUAAAAGCAAGCUUGAUGGUUGGGAAACAACAACGAAGGCACAAGAUGGAGAUAUAUGGGAAAUGUCACAGAGGGAGGAAGAUACUCUCUUCCAAGAAUUUGAUCAUCGAAUAGCAUACAGCAAAUUUCAGAUAGCUAGUUUUAUCGAGGAUCGCAUAUUUAGCAGGAGAAGACCUAUUGAUGGUUGGAAAUACAUGAUAGAGGUGUUGGGACCAGAUGCCAAGAAAGGGAGGGGUAGUGUUUCAAGAAUACCGAGUAUAUCAGAUCCAUCUACACAACCAUUCAAGGGGGACAGGAAACUGAUUUCCCACAAAGGGGGUAGUUCAGCUCCUGACUCUGCUGAACUUUCUUUCUUUGUUCUUGGCCAUUGUAUGUUUGCUUGGUGAUCAAGCUGCAUGCCGUCAUGUUUUCUUGAGAGAGUGUUAUAGAAAAGACGUCCAAUAGGUUAAGCUACUCGUAGCUGUGAGGAAGAUAAAGUUCUGUCAAUCAAGAAAAUGGCAAUCUAAAUUUGUAAAUCAUCGAUUCAUUGUGACUGUAAAUGUUGUAUAUGUACAGAUCUCUACGCUAGAAGAUUGGUAGGGGUUUGAGAGGCUAAAUGUUGUCUGGUUAUUCAUUUGUGACCCCCAAACUGCUCUGAAAAAAUCAAAGCUACCACAGUUUUUUGACAU
Populus trichocarpa (black cottonwood) is the source of this 1829-nucleotide RNA transcript. It is a transcript of the gene named protein GAMETE CELL DEFECTIVE 1, mitochondrial-like, with no coding region annotated. NCBI's taxonomy places the organism in Eukaryota, Viridiplantae, Streptophyta, Magnoliopsida, Malpighiales, Salicaceae. The record is from RefSeq and is a predicted model, not a curated record. The transcript has 3 exons.